RNAcentral lists this ribosomal RNA (467 nucleotides) under uncultured bacterium. RNAcentral's name for it is "bacterial SSU rRNA". It matches the Rfam family "Bacterial small subunit ribosomal RNA", at positions 355 to 825 of the family's 1533-position model. The record is from RNAcentral.
UAGGGAAUAUUGGACAAUGGGUGAGAGCCUGAUCCAGCCAUGCCGCGUGCAGGAAGAAGGCGUUAUGCGUUGUAAACUGCUUUUUGCCAGGGGAUAAAAUGAGCGUGCGCGCUUAAUUGAAGGUACCUGGUGAAUAAGCCACGGCUAACUACGUGCCAGCAGCCGCGGUAAUACGUAGGUGGCAAGCGUUGUCCGGAUUUAUUGGGUUUAAAGGGUGCGUAGGUGGCCCUGUAAGUCAGUGGUGAAAUAUCUCAGCUUAACUGAGAGGGUGCCAUUGAUACUGCAGGGCUUGAGUACAGAUGAGGUAGGCGGAAUUGACGGUGUAGCGGUGAAAUGCAUAGAUAUCGUCAAGAACACCGAUAGCGAAGGCAGCUUACCAAGCUGUAACUGACACUGAGGCACGAAAGUGUGGGGAUCAAACAGGAUUAGAUACCCGUGUAGUCCCUGAGCGGGCUGGCAAGGCGCAU